GAUGAACGCUGGCGGCGUGCCUAAUACAUGCAAGUCGAGCGAACAGACGAGGAGCUUGCUCCUCUGACGUUAGCGGCGGACGGGUGAGUAACACGUGGAUAACCUACCUAUAAGACUGUGAUAACUUCGGGAAACCGGAGCUAAUACCGGAUAACAUGUUGAACCGCAUGGUUCAACAGUGAAAGACGGUUUUGCUGUCACUUAUAGGUUGAUCCGCGUCGCAUUAGCUAGUUGGUAAGGUAACGGCUUACCAAGGCAACGAUGCGUAGCCGACCUGAGAGGGUGAUCGGCCACACUGGAACUGAGACACGGUCCAGACUCCUACGGGAGGCAGCAGUAGGGAAUCUUCCGCAAUGGGCGAAAGCCUGACGGAGCAACGCCGCGUGAGUGAAGAAGGUCUUCGGAUCGUAAAACUCUGUUAUUAGGGAAGAACAAAUGUGUAAGUAACUAUGCACGUCUUGACGGUACCUAAUCAGAAAGCCACGGCUAACUACGUG
This 497-nucleotide ribosomal RNA is filed under the name uncultured bacterium. Its description in RNAcentral is "partial 16S ribosomal RNA". It matches the Rfam family "Bacterial small subunit ribosomal RNA", at positions 28 to 507 of the family's 1533-position model. The record is from RNAcentral.